RNAcentral lists this non-coding RNA (24 nucleotides) under Arabidopsis thaliana (thale cress). Lineage: Eukaryota; Viridiplantae; Streptophyta; Magnoliopsida; Brassicales; Brassicaceae. The record is from RNAcentral.
AUACCUGUAGUAGAGUUAACAACU